UACAGAGGGUGCGAGCGUUGUCCGGAAUCACUGGGCGUAAAGGGCGCGUAGGUGGUGGCUUAAGCGUGCGGUGAAAGCUCGGGGCUCAACCCCGAGUCGGCCGGUGCGAACGUGGGCUCACGUGGGCAUAGUAGAGGCAGGUGGAAUUCCGGGUGGUAGCGGUGGAAUGGCGUAGAGAUCCGGAAGAACACCGGUGGCGAAGGCGGCCUGCUGGGCUGAUGG
Molecule: ribosomal RNA, 222 nt
Filed under: uncultured bacterium
Lineage: Bacteria
Description: partial 16S ribosomal RNA
Rfam family: Bacterial small subunit ribosomal RNA
Source: RNAcentral